RNAcentral lists this ribosomal RNA (440 nucleotides) under uncultured delta proteobacterium. RNAcentral's name for it is "bacterial SSU rRNA". It matches the Rfam family "Bacterial small subunit ribosomal RNA", at positions 1067 to 1506 of the family's 1533-position model. The record is from RNAcentral. Lineage: Bacteria; Deltaproteobacteria.
GUGAGGUGUUCGGUUAAGUCCGGCAACGAGCGCAACCCUUAUCUUCAGUUACCAUCAUUAAGUUGGGGACUCUGAAGAGACUGCCCGGGUUAACCGGGAGGAAGGUGGGGAUGACGUCAAGUCCUCAUGGCCCUUAUGUCCAGGGCUACACACGUGCUACAAUGGCGGGAACAGAGGGAAGCAAGACCGCGAGGUGNNNNAAAUCCCACAAAUCCUGUCCCAGUUCGGAUAGGAGUCUGCAACUCGACUCCUUGAAGUUGGAAUCGCUAGUAAUCGCGGAUCAGAAUGCCGCGGUGAAUACGCUCCCAGGCCUUGUACACACCGCCCGUCACACCAUGAGAGCUGGUUGUACCCGACGUCGUUGAGCUAACCCGUAAGGGAGGCAGGCGCCUAAGGUAUGGCUGGUGAUUGGGGUGAAGUCGUAACAAGGUAAUCGAAUU